CCUACGGGCUGCAGCAGUAGGGAAUCUUCGGCAAUGGACGAAAGUCUGACCGAGCAACGCCGCGUGAGUGAAGAAGGUUUUCGGAUCGUAAAGCUCUGUUGUUAGGGAAGAAGAAGUACCGUUCGAAUAGGGCGGUACGGUGACGGUACCUAACGAGAAAGCCCCGGCUAACUACGUGCCAGCAGCCGCGGUAAUACGUAGGGGGCGAGCGUUGUCCGGAAUUAUUGGGCGUAAAGCGCGCGCAGGCGGUCCCUUAAGUCUGAUGUGAAAGCCCACGGCUCAACCGUGGAGGGUCAUUGGAAACUGGGGGACUUGAGUGCAGAAGAGGAGAGCGGAAUUCCACGUGUAGCGGUGAAAUGCGUAGAGAUGUGGAGGAACACCAGUGGCGAAGGCGGCUCUCUGGUCUGUAACUGACGCUGAGGCGCGAAAGCGUGGGGAGCAAACAGGAUUAGAUACCCGUGUAGUC
Molecule: ribosomal RNA, 466 nt
Filed under: uncultured bacterium
Lineage: Bacteria
Description: bacterial SSU rRNA
Rfam family: Bacterial small subunit ribosomal RNA
Source: RNAcentral